Zalophus californianus (California sea lion) is the source of this 913-nucleotide long non-coding RNA. RefSeq lists it as uncharacterized. The record is from RefSeq and is a predicted model, not a curated record. The transcript is spliced from 3 exons. NCBI's taxonomy places the organism in Eukaryota, Metazoa, Chordata, Mammalia, Carnivora, Otariidae.
CUAGACCAGGUCCUGCUUCGCCUGGAAAAGACUGGCUUGACUGCUGAGCUCUUACAGUGGAGAAGUGGGGUCUGACAUGAAGGAAAAUAUCCUGUGCUCCGAGGAUCUGGCUCACGAAGCUAGCAGCCUGCUCCUUGCUGGAGCUUCAGAAUGAAAUUUAGAAGGUCGAAUGAAAUCAUAUUGCUGUUUUCAAAGGAAAAGAGGUGCCCGCAAAAGGAUGGAUAAGACAGCCUCGGCCAUCCAGGGGCACAGAGCAUCAGAAGCAAAGAGAGAAGGAUGUCAGUGUUCACGGUGACCUUGGAGGCCACAUGGUGGAGAUGGUGGAGCCCCUGCCAGCAGAACCCUGCUCUUCACCACUGUGCCUUAUCAGCCUGCUUGGACCGUGAAUUGCAGCAUUAAGACAUUGAGACUUAGGGGUUGUUACUUCAGCGAGCAGUUAGUCUCUCCUGACAUAUACAGAAUCUUACAGAACCUCUACCUAGUAUAAACAGCUGCAUACCUUCAUGUAAGAUUUUGUACAUAUUUGAGAGACUUCCUGGGUCCCAGCCCUCUUAAGCUCAUCCACAUGGCCCAAGGUGAAGACCUCGACUGCCUUAAAGAAUAAGAUCAAGCAGAAUGUGGCGGUUAAACGGUCUUGGGAACGUCUUUCUGGUUUCAGGGCCUCCCUGCAGCAGAGGGGUUCCAGAGGCGACACCUUACUUAAGGGAUUUUAGUGACGGCCUAGCCUCCCAGGGAGAAGGUCUCCUAUGAAGGCCUCCCUAAUCAUACAGACGCUCUCCGCCAUGCCGCAGCUACCAAAGUGCUUGCUGUCAUCUUCGUGGCACAUCCAACAGAUCUGAUGGGUCACAGGUCACAGGACCAGGCAGCAACUCCUCCCAGCUGAGUCCCUGGGACUUUGCUCAGGGCCCCCAGG